Molecule: ribosomal RNA, 465 nt
Filed under: uncultured bacterium
Lineage: Bacteria
Description: partial 16S ribosomal RNA
Rfam family: Bacterial small subunit ribosomal RNA
Source: RNAcentral
GACGAACGCUGGCGGCGUGCUUAACACAUGGCAGUCGAACGGAAAGGCCCCUUUGGGGGUACUCGAGUGGCGAACGGGGGAGUAAAACGUGAGUAACCUGCCCUUGACUUCGGGAUAACUUCAGGAAACUGGGGCCAAUACCGGCUAGGAAUCCUUGCUGCAUGGUGGGGGUUGGAAAGCUUCGGCGGUUUUGGAUGGACUCGCGGCUUAUCAGCUUGUUGGUGGGGUAGUGGCUUACCAAGGCUUCGACGGGUAGCCGGCCUGAGAGGGUGACCGGCCACCUUGAGACUUAGGGGCGGCCCCGGCUCCGACGGGAGGCAGCAGUGGGGAAGACUGCUCCAGGGGCGGAAGCCGUAUGCAGCAGCGCCGCGGGCGGGAUGACGGCCUUCGGGUUGUAGACCGCCUUCAGCAGGGGCGAAGCUUGUGGUGACGGUACCUGCAGAAGAAGCACCGGCUAACUACGUG